CUUUUUUUUAAUAAUAAUAAUAAUAAUAAUAAUAAUAAUAUCUAAAUAUUUACAGCUCAGGCAUGUACAGUAGUACCUUACUUGUGCAUAAUUAAAGGAAGCAUGGACCAGAAUUACACAUACAUUUCAAAAAUUAAAGUGUCCAUAAAGUGAGUGAGCGCUGAUUUGAGCCUGUCAGUCUAACAGCUGGGGGGAUGAAGGACCUGCUCCUUCCUACACUGUGGGUGGAUCAGUCUGCCACUAAGGGAGCUGCUCAGACCACAGUCUAGUGCGGUGGAUCUGUUCCACAACUAGUUCCACCUGUUCAGGUGUGUCCAGAGACACACAUUCCUACUAAAGCCAGGCCUGUUGGCUGUUUGGUAACAGUAAGCUUCUUUGUGUGGCUCUAAUCCUUUCCACUGCGUAGUCAAAUAUAAAAGACAGUCAGCUGAAAGCAAUCUGUGUCCAGAUACAUGGACAGUUUGGACAAAUCAUCACACAUGUACAGUCAUGGAAAAAGAAUUUGGGACCACAUGUACAGUGAAAGCUCCCAGACAGAAGUACCUUAUCAUUGAGUCUGGAGAAGUCUGCAUAUCUUCUAAAAACAACCCAGUUCAUAUCGGGAGACUUCCUGACAAGGAUCUUGUACACCUGCAGCAGAGAAGAGACAGCACACGUGUACAGUACAAUAUGAACCCAUUUCCUUAACGGCUUGUUUCUCUCUGCUUUUGUGAAGUGUCUGAUUUAUAUGGUAAAUAAUAAAACCAGUGUGUGUUGAGUAAAUGCUGAUAUUAGAA
Long non-coding RNA from Betta splendens (Siamese fighting fish), 776 nucleotides. RefSeq lists it as uncharacterized. The record is from RefSeq and is a predicted model, not a curated record. The transcript has 2 exons. NCBI's taxonomy places the organism in Eukaryota, Metazoa, Chordata, Actinopteri, Anabantiformes, Osphronemidae.